This 465-nucleotide ribosomal RNA is filed under the name uncultured Gammaproteobacteria bacterium. Its description in RNAcentral is "bacterial SSU rRNA". It matches the Rfam family "Bacterial small subunit ribosomal RNA", at positions 338 to 795 of the family's 1533-position model. Lineage: Bacteria; Pseudomonadati; Pseudomonadota; Gammaproteobacteria. The record is from RNAcentral.
CCUACGGGUGGCUGCAGUGGGGAAUAUUGGACAAUGGGCGCAAGCCUGAUCCAGCAAUGCCGCGUGGGUGAAGACGGCCUGCGGGUUGUAAAGCCCUUUAGGUGGGGAAGAACGAUGCCGGGUGAAUAGCCGGGUGUUAUGACAUUACCCACGGAAUAAGCACCGGCUAACUCCGUGCCAGCAGCCGCGGUAAUACGGAGGGUGCGAGCGUUAAUCGGAAUGACUGGGCGUAAAGCGUGCGUAGGUGGUGGUGUUAGUCAGCCGUGAAAGCCCUGGGCUUAACCUGGGAAUGGCGGUUGAAACGGCGCGACUUGAGUGGGUUAGAGGACUGUGGAACUCCUGGUGUAGCGGUGAAAUGCGUAGAGAUCAGGAAGAACACCGAUGGCGAAGGCAGCGGUCUGGGACCACACUGACACUGAGGCACGAAAGCGUGGGGAGCAAACAGGAUUAGAUACCCCUGUAGUC